UCCCCCAAGUGGGACACAGGCCCCGCCACCACCCUGGAAUGACAACCCAUCAAAUCACAGCCAGUGCUGCCAAGACCCCAAGGUGCAAAAUGUGGCUCACAGCCCAGCCCAACCCGAAAAUGUUUGCUG
Molecule: long non-coding RNA, 129 nt
Organism: Myotis brandtii (Brandt's bat)
Lineage: Eukaryota; Metazoa; Chordata; Mammalia; Chiroptera; Vespertilionidae
Exons: 3
Source: RefSeq, a predicted model, not a curated record